This 1504-nucleotide ribosomal RNA is filed under the name Scenopinus schulzi. RNAcentral's name for it is "SSU rRNA". It matches the Rfam family "Eukaryotic small subunit ribosomal RNA", at positions 459 to 1799 of the family's 1831-position model. Lineage: Eukaryota; Metazoa; Arthropoda; Insecta; Diptera; Scenopinidae. The record is from RNAcentral.
GGGAGGUAGUGACGAAAAAUAACAAUACAGGACUCAUAUCCGAGGCCUUGUAAUUGGAAUGAGUACACUUUAAAUUCUUUAACGAGGACCUAAUGGAGGGCAAGUCUGGUGCCAGCAGCCGCGGUAAUUCCAGCUCCAUUAGCGUAUAUUAAAGUUGUUGCGGUUAAAACGUUCGUAGUUGAACUUGUGCUCCAUACGGGUAGUACACCUAAAAUAUUGGUUUGUACGUUACCUUUUAGUUAUGUGAGCGUAUUAUCGGUGGAUUGAUGUUAUCGUUUGAUUUAUUCAUUCGUAUAACAAAUAUAUCCUAUAAUAACCUGCUUCAAUGCUCUUUACCGGGUGUUGUCGUGGGCCGAUACAAUUACUUUGAACAAAUUAGAGUGCUUAAAGCAGGCCGCUAUACGCCUGAAUAUUCUGUGCAUGGAAUAAUGGAAUAUGACCUCUGUUCUACUUUCAUUGGUUUUUAGAUCAAGAGGUAAUGAUUAAUAGAAGCAGUUGGGGGCAUUAGUAUUACGACGCGAGAGGUGAAAUUCUUGGACCGUCGUAAGACUAACUUAAGCGAAAGCAUUUGCCAAAGAUGUUUUCAUUAAUCAAGAACGAAAGUUAGAGGUUCGAAGGCGAUCAGAUACCGCCCUAGUUCUAACCAUAAACGAUGCCAGCUAGCAAUUGGGUGUAGCUACUAUUAUGGCUUUCUCAGUCGCUUCCCGGGAAACCAAAGCUUUUGGGCUCCGGGGGAAGUAUGGUUGCAAAGCUGAAACUUAAAGGAAUUGACGGAAGGGCACCACCAGGAGUGGAGCCUGCGGCUUAAUUUGACUCAACACGGGAAAACUUACCAGGUCCGAACAUAAAUGAGUAAGACAGAUUGAUAGCUCUUUCUCGAAUCUAUGGGUGGUGGUGCAUGGCCGUUCUUAGUUCGUGGAGUGAUUUGUCUGGUUAAUUCCGAUAACGAACGAGACUCAAAUAUAUUAAAUAGAUGCAUUCAGGAUUAUGAUGUUUGAAACUCAGCAUAACCUUCUUGUAUGAAAUAUAGCAAUAUAUCGAUUACUUGAAGUGUCUAUGUUAGUGGAGUCGUACCUGUUUGUUUAUCCCAAUAAUACGGGAUACUAGCUUCUUAAAUGGACAAAUUGCGUCUAGCAAUAAUGAGAUUGAGCAAUAACAGGUCUGUGAUGCCCUUAGAUGUCCUGGGCUGCACGCGCGCUACAAUGAAAGUAUCAACGUGUAUUUCCUAGACCGAGAGGUCCGGGUAAACCGCUGAAUCACUUUCAUGCUUGGGAUUGUGAACUGAAACUGUUCACAUGAACCUGGAAUUCCCAGUAAGUGCGAGUCAUUAACUCGCAUUGAUUACGUCCCUGCCCUUUGUACACACCGCCCGUCGCUACUACCGAUUGAAUUAUUUAGUGAGGUCUCCGGACGUGAUCACUGUGACGCACUUGUUUGUGUUGCGGUUGUUUCACAGAAGUUGACCGAACUUGAUUAUUUAGAGGAAGUAAAAGUCGUAACAAGG